AUGAACACAGACGAGCAGUCACAUUUUGCAGAACUACAUCCAAAUUCUGUGGAAGACUUCUACAAUGUUUCUUCAGGAAGCAGUUUUCCUGCUACUUCAAACCACAGACAUUCCCAACCAAGCACACUUGACACUGAAAUCCAGAAUGAUGUCAUAUUUUUGGAUGAUGCAAACCAUGCAGUUCUAGUGGAUCUCUCUGAGGUCAGUGAAUCUCAGAAUUCUGACCCUGAAAUAAUAAUAGGUGCACAGCAUUCUUCAGAGUUUGAUAUUACUUCUCUCAGUGACACACUUAUCUUUGAGCCAGAUGACAUCUCACAAAGCCCUCAGGAUGUAAUUCCAGAAGUAACCUUGGUUCUACACCAUGCAAACAGCUUCAACGAAAUGAUUGAGACAUUUUCUGAUGCUGACAUCCUAGACAAAAUCUUAAACAUCAGACGUUUACUCCCUGACAAUUCAGUUGAAAAAGCAACUGGUUCUGGUGUAGUCAGGGAUGUCUACAGCUGUUUUUGGACAGAGUUUUAUGAACGAUGCACUCUUGGAACAUCUCUGAAAGUUCCUUUUCUUAGGCAUGAUUUCUGUGCAUCUAAAUGGAAAGCAAUCGGAAGAAUUUUUCUGAAAGGAUUUAGAGACUGUCAGUAUCUGCCUAUCCGACUUGCCCCACCGUUUUUAGAACAAAUGCUGUAUGGGGAAGUCCACAGUGAUCUGAAAAAAACAUUUCUGCAGUUUGUGAGCAUGCAGGAACAUGACAUUCUAAGGAAUGCAUUGCAGGAUUUUUCAUCUGUUGAUACAGAUGAAUUAAUGGAAGUCUUGAGCACAUAUGAGUGCAGAAAAAUGGUUACUGCGGCUAAUUUGGCAGAAAUUUUGGAUGAAAUUUCGCACAAGGAACUUGUGCAGAAACCAAUGUUUGUCAUUGACUGCUGGCAAGAAGUCACAAAAUCACAUGUAAACCUAAGCCCAGAGGAGUUGACCAAAACAUACAGUGACCCCCAACCAACACCAAGAAAAGAUGUUGCCCUCUUAAACUUUCCGUCUGUGAUGACACCAAAACAAACAGAGGUGUCACAACACCUGAAAAGGUACAUUAGAGAGCUGAGUGAGGAAAAGCUCUCCAUGUUCUUAAGAUUUUGCACUGGCUCAGAUGUGUUAUGCAGAAACAACAUCAAAAUUGAUUUCACCAGUCAAACUACUUACACAAGAAGGCCGAUCGCACAUACCUGUGGGAUGGUUCUGGAACUCUCUGAAAGCUACGACCAUUUUCCUGACUUCCGGAGUGAGUUUAACUCAAUUCUGGAGAGCAACAUCUGGAUAAUGGAUAUUGUGUGA
RNAcentral lists this long non-coding RNA (1323 nucleotides) under Oryzias javanicus (javanese ricefish). RNAcentral's name for it is "lncRNA (ENSOJAG00000005496.1)". The record is from RNAcentral. Lineage: Eukaryota; Metazoa; Chordata; Actinopteri; Beloniformes; Adrianichthyidae.